This 406-nucleotide unclassified non-coding RNA is filed under the name Hevea brasiliensis (rubber tree). Lineage: Eukaryota; Viridiplantae; Streptophyta; Magnoliopsida; Malpighiales; Euphorbiaceae. The record is from RNAcentral.
CUUAAAAUACAUGUUUAUAUCGAGAGAAAACACAUACAAACACAGCACAGCAAAGCAGCAAACGAAACCAAACCUCUCCGCUGCCUCGUAGAAAUCCAUAAAUUUUAAUUUUCUGCUUCUCCAAGAUAAAACCCAGUUUCUUCCUCGUAACGUAGAACAACUCAAAGAAAAUCGUUAAUCUUUUCUCUCGCAUUUUUAUUUUAUUUUAUUGUAUUUUUUAAUUUUGAUUCGUUUCUUCUUUGGCCUCCUCCAAAUGGUUGUUAUGAUGGAGGAUAAUGAGAGUUGUGGAAGCAGAGUUAAUGAUACAACGACGUCGUCUUCGACUUCGCUGUCGCCGUCGCCUUCACUUGUGCAGGGACGGCAACAGAGACAGAAGCUAGAAGUGUACAAUGAGGUUCUUCGUCGG